UCUUUUUCACUUUUGGAUUUUGCUUCUGUCGGCUGAAACAAGUUUUCGUGUCGUUUAUUGUUGGUGUCGCUGCACGAUAAUUGCGCCCCAUCGACGAUUACAAGAUCGCCUGAUCGCUUUUUUGGUACCUUCGGGCGAACUUUUCGGCUUCUUGUUGCUGUGAAACCGCUUUGUCGCCGAAUUUGUGCUGUACAAUGACUAACCGGUAACGUAGUAGCAAGAGGAAAAGCAUAGCGCAGCGACCCAAAUCGAUUGCAAGUUUUACCCUCCUAUUUGCUGCACCAGUAAACACCGAAAUAUGCAGCAACGUAACUUAUCACAGCACUGAUUUAUUGGAAACGCCAAAAGUUACGCCACAAAAGGUCUUCGAAAAUUGGGAAAAAUAUAUAAACGGGCACUUAAAAGCUUCGCUAUGUAUUUGCGGGGUUAAAGGAGACACACCCGUUGUUUUCUAGGAUACCAAAAAGCAAAGUUCACUGAAGCUUAUUGGUUUACAAGAACAAUGAAGCAGUUUUGCGUUUCUAUAACACAUAUGGCCGAGGCUUAUAACAAGUGUAUGGACAAUUUAAUUCGAUGUUGGUGCUUGAAUUGGCUCAGGAGCUUAUAUAUUUUGAAGGCGAUAAUAUAGAUUUGUAUUAAAAUGCGUUAAAAUGUCAAAUUUUGUCAGUCUGGGUCAAAAGUGAUCAGAUGUUAUAUAUGCUAGCGUUAAACACUCGCUAAACAUAAGAGAUUGACUCGACAACGAUAAAAGGCCAAAUUGUAAACGAGAGAAAUCUUAUACCCAGAUCAAAAUUAUUGUUGACUUGGUAAAAAAUUAUUGGUUGAAUCGAGAAUAAAGAGGAAUGUAAUAAUACCAA
Non-coding RNA from Bactrocera oleae (olive fruit fly), 857 nucleotides. Lineage: Eukaryota; Metazoa; Arthropoda; Insecta; Diptera; Tephritidae. The record is from RefSeq and is a predicted model, not a curated record.